AGUAAUUCGAUUGCCAAUUUGUGUCUUAUAGCUGUAGAGUCCCAAUGGGAAGGGGUUGAACUUGAGUCCAUGAAAUCGGAUCUUCGCAUAUGAUUAAUGACAUGGACUCCACAAUCCCACCUAACAAAUAAAAUGAGUAAACAUUUAUCUAGUUAGUACAUAGAAAUAUUAUCUUGAACACAUUAUAUUUGAAGAAACAAUUAUGCUUGCUUACCCAUUGGCUUGCACAUCUACCCAUGUAGGUCUUUCAAUGGGAACACUUGAUAAAUUCUUUAGA
RNAcentral lists this long non-coding RNA (277 nucleotides) under Vitis vinifera (wine grape). RNAcentral describes it as "long non-coding RNA (VVIN_LNC001016)". Lineage: Eukaryota; Viridiplantae; Streptophyta; Magnoliopsida; Vitales; Vitaceae. The record is from RNAcentral.